Molecule: ribosomal RNA, 894 nt
Filed under: uncultured Anaerofilum sp.
Lineage: Bacteria; Bacillati; Bacillota; Clostridia; Eubacteriales; Oscillospiraceae
Description: bacterial SSU rRNA
Rfam family: Bacterial small subunit ribosomal RNA
Source: RNAcentral
CGUAUCAGCAUUCAAAACUGUGGUUCUUGAGUAAUGCAGAGGUAGGCGGAAUUUCCCGGUGUAGCGGUGGAAUGCGUAGAUAUCGGGAGGAACACCAGUGGCGAAGGCGGCCUACUGGGCAUCAACUGACGCUGAGGCUCGAAAGCAUGGGUAGCAAACAGGAUUAGAUACCCUGGUAGUCCAUGCUGUAAACGAUGAUUACUAGGUGUGGGAAGAUUGACCCUUUCCGUGCCGCAGUUAACACAAUAAGUAAUCCACCUGGGGAGUACGACCGCAAGGUUGAAACUCAAAGGAAUUGACGGGGGCCCGCACAAGCAGUGGAGUAUGUGGUUUAAUUCGAAGCAACGCGAAGAACCUUACCAGGUCUUGACAUCCAACGACCGCCUAAGAGAUUAGGCUUUCCUUCGGGACGUUGAGACAGGUGGUGCAUGGUUGUCGUCAGCUCGUGUCGUGAGAUGUUGGGUUAAGUCCCGCAACGAGCGCAACCCUUAUUACUAGUUACUACGCAAGAGGACUCUAGUGAGACUGCCGUUGACAAAACGGAGGAAGGUGGGGAUGACGUCAAAUCAUCAUGCCCUUUAUGACCUGGGCUACACACGUACUACAAUGGCUAUUAACAGAGAGAAGCGAGACCGCAAGGUGGAGCAAACCUCAGAAAAAUAGUCUCAGUCCGGAUUGGGGGCUGCAACCCGCCCCCAUGAAGCCGGAAUUGCUAGUAAUCGCGGAUCAGCAUGCCGCGGUGAAUACGUUCCCGGGCCUUGUACACACCGCCCGUCACACCAUGAGAGCCGGGGGGACCCGAAGUCGGUAGUCUAACCGCAAGGAGGACGCCGCCGAAGGUAAAACUGGUGAUUGGGGUGAAGUCGUAACAAGGUAACCGUAAAGGGCGAAUUC